UACAGAGGGGGCAAGCGUUGUUCGGAAUUACUGGGCGUAAAGGGCGCGUAGGCGGCCUGCUAAGUCGAACGUGAAAUCCCCGGGCUCAACCCGGGAACUGCGUCCGAGACUGGCAGGCUUGAAUCCGGGAGAGGGAUGUGGAAUUCCAGGUGUAGCGGUGAAAUGCGUAGAUAUCUGGAGGAACAUCGGUGGCGAAGGCGGCAUCCUGGACCGGUAUUGACGCUGAGGCGCGAAAGCCAGGGGAGCAAACGGGAUUAGAAACCCGCGUAGUCC
RNAcentral lists this ribosomal RNA (273 nucleotides) under uncultured bacterium. RNAcentral's name for it is "partial 16S ribosomal RNA". It matches the Rfam family "Bacterial small subunit ribosomal RNA", at positions 524 to 796 of the family's 1533-position model. The record is from RNAcentral.